UACGUAGGGGGCUAGCGUUGUCCGGAAUCAUUGGGCGUAAAGCGCGCGUAGGCGGCCAGAUAAGUCCGGUGUGAAAGUCACAGGCUCAACCUGUGAAUGCCGCUGGAAACUGUCUGGCUAGAGUCCGGAAGGGGCGAGUGGAAUUCCUGGUGUAGCGGUGAAAUGCGCAGAUAUCUGGAGGAACACCGGUGGCGAAGGCGGCAUCCUGGACCAAUACUGACGCUGAGGAGCGAAAGCCAGGGGAGCAAACGGG
This 253-nucleotide ribosomal RNA is filed under the name uncultured bacterium. RNAcentral's name for it is "partial 16S ribosomal RNA". It matches the Rfam family "Bacterial small subunit ribosomal RNA", at positions 524 to 776 of the family's 1533-position model. The record is from RNAcentral.